Molecule: ribosomal RNA, 532 nt
Filed under: uncultured bacterium
Lineage: Bacteria
Description: bacterial SSU rRNA
Rfam family: Bacterial small subunit ribosomal RNA
Source: RNAcentral
GCGCGUGAGUGAAGAAGCCUUCGGGUAUAAAGCCCUUUUGUCAGGGAAGAAACACCGGCUCUAACACAGUCCGGGAAUGACGGUACCUGAAGAAUAAGCACCGGCUAACUACGUGCCAGCAGCCGCGGUAAUACGUAGGGUGCGAGCGUUAAUCGGAAUUACUGGGCGUAAAGCGUGCGCAGGCGGUUAUACAAGACAGGCGUGAAAUCCCCGGGCUUAACCUGGGAAUGGCGCCGGUGACUGUAUAGCUAGAGUGUGUCCAGAGGGGGGUAGAAUUCCACGUGUAGCAGUGAAAUGCGUAGAUAUGUGGAGGAAUACCAAUGGCGACGGCAGCCCCCUGGGAUAACACUGACGCUCAUGCACGAAAGCGUGGGGAGCAAACAGGAUUAGAUACCCUGGUAGUCCACGCCCUAAACGAUGCUGACUAGUUGUUCGGGAUUUACAUCCUGAGUAACGUAGCUAACGCGUGAAGUCAGACGGCUGGGGAGUACGGUCGCAAGAUUAAAACUCACAGGAAUUGACGGGGACCCGC